Long non-coding RNA from Humulus lupulus (European hop), 308 nucleotides. RefSeq lists it as uncharacterized. The transcript is spliced from 2 exons. The record is from RefSeq and is a predicted model, not a curated record. NCBI's taxonomy places the organism in Eukaryota, Viridiplantae, Streptophyta, Magnoliopsida, Rosales, Cannabaceae.
GACAAAAUGGAAUAUUUGGUUUUCGAGCAAGAAAAGCAAUAUCCAUCUGGAGUAAGAUGACAACUUUCAAAUGCACAUGUCUAUAUUGAGAUGCAUUUCUUUGGCGCAAUACUAGACAACAUUGGUAGUUGAAGUUUUUAGAAUCAAAAAUAUAUUUCACUAACUUUGUAUACAUUUCUUGUUUAAUAUUUGGUGAUGAUAGAAUUUGACUGUAGUAUAAACUAUCAUGUAAUAUGAUUUUGUAAGCCGAGUAGACUAAAUAUUGAAAUUAUAUUUUUGAGUAAUUAAUAAAAAAAUAUUUUGUUGUA